This 253-nucleotide ribosomal RNA is filed under the name uncultured bacterium. Its description in RNAcentral is "partial 16S ribosomal RNA". It matches the Rfam family "Bacterial small subunit ribosomal RNA", at positions 524 to 776 of the family's 1533-position model. The record is from RNAcentral.
UACGUAGGUGGCAAGCGUUGUCCGGAUUUAUUGGGUUUAAAGGGUGCGUAGGCGGCCCUGUAAGUCAGUGGUGAAAUCCUCCAGCUUAACUGGAGGGGUGCCAUUGAUACUGCAGGGCUUGAGUGGAGUCGAAGUAGGCGGAAUUGACGGUGUAGCGGUGAAAUGCUUAGAUAUCGUCAAGAACACCGAUAGUGAAGACAGUUUACUAGGCUUCUACUGACGCUGAGGCACGAAAGUGUGGGGAUCAAACAGG